GGGCCUCUCUCCCCGGCACCCCGCCGCCAGCGCGCCCUGGGCUCCCCCUCCCCGGACCGUCCUCCAGGGGCCACCUCGAGCCCGCGCGGUCACAGAAGGGAGAGAAGACCCGGGAGUGAAGGGCUCCCCCCACCCCCAACACGGAAAUCGGGCCGGGAAAGAGCCGAUCCCUGGAGUGCCCACCCGAGCAGGUCGGGCCGGAGACGCGGCGGGCGGCUGAAGGGAAGGCUGGUGCCCCCCCCACCCCCCCGCCGACUCGUGCUGCACCUGGGAGCGAGUCUGGAGCGCCCCGGCUCUGAAGUCUAGGGGCUGCGGUCCUGCUGAGCCGAUGGGGGCCGGCGGGCCCACCCCGAACCGCCCUGCGUAGGUUUCGGGACCGCAGGUCAGGGAGUCCGCACAACCCCGCCGCCCCGCGAGUUCAAGCCCAGAUAGUCUCAGGACUGUGUGUGGGACACGAGAGUGAACUUUUUCGGGGUGAUUCUGACCUCUGCCCCCCAACUCAGCCACGGACACGGGGCUUUUUACCCUCCCUCCUGCCUCUCCGUCUGGAAACACAGGUGCCAUUCGGUUCUGGCGACCUCAAACCGUUUGUGAUGGAGUUUGGUUAAAGUGGACACAUGGCUGGAUCACACACACGUCUACACAGCCUCUCCAUCCGGAGUCUGGGAGGAAAAGCGCUUUGUUGGCCGAGAGUGCGCAGGGGCCUGGGCUCUCCUCUGGCUUCCCUCCUCUGGUCCACCGCUGGGUUGGAGAACCCCUUCUUCUGUUGGGAGGGAGGUGUGGACGCGCACGACUUGUGUAUGGACAAGUGCAAAGCUGGAGGAGUGAGAAAACUUUAAUCCUACGGAGGCCGGAGCUCGCAGGUCUGCUCUUCCGCCAAGGGAUGAGCCGGGAUUCCCUGCAGAAGGAGCUGAGCCCUCUCCGGCCGGAGACCACUCCGCUGGCGGAAGCUUGGUUCCCUAAUUCCUUUUACCAGGUGCAGCCCUGACUCUCCGAGCUCCACCCUCCCCUGCCCCAGUGUUUGCCCGCAGCCCCAACCGCAGGGAGCUGAUUUACUAGGGAUUCCGAUGGAUGCUCUCUUUUGGCUGGCACCCCAACUUUUCACUCAAGCACCACGAGACUGGAGGGUGAAGGUGACCAGGACUCAGAGCUGGAGGCUUCUGUACAGAACCUGCAUGACAACCCUUCAAGGGCUCGGGGCUGUAACUGCAGUCUUGCAGGAUCCCCGGCAGCAGUGGUAGGAGUGUGAAGUUCCUCUCUUGGAGUCUGGCUCAUACCCCAUACGCAUCUAUCCGUCUGGAUUGUAGAAGACAGCCUUGCUCACUUUAGCCCCUGGGGCUAUAAAAAAAUUAAGUCUGCAUUAAGGAAAAUAGAAAGUGACCUAGUGAUGAUGUAUUUGGAAGCUAUGGAGUCCUGACUAUGUUCUGGACACUCUUAGAAAAGCAUGAAGGAGGCUGCCCGUGAGUGGGUGAGGGCAGGCUUGUGGAAACACGCUGAAGGAAGAUUCAGCAGGGCCUGUCUGUGCAGGCAGAGCAGGCUCCCCAGGAAGGUCGGGAGGGCUGGCUGGACGCCUGGACCCACUGUACUCCUGACAAGCCUGACAAGAUGUGAGAUGCUCCGUCCAGGCCGCAAGGCUCACACAACUUCCAGCCUGUAGGGCAGAGAAGCUGCUGAUGCACCCAGCCUGGGGCAGAGACCCAGACCUUGCAGUCAGCUAGGCUGAGCUGUGGCCCAGGGACCGGGAAGGUGUGGCUUCCUGGCUGUCCCGGCCCGCCUGGCCCGCCCGUCCAUCCAGAGGUAGCUUCUAGCGCCCAGCUGGCGGUGAAUCCCACCAGCAUUUGCUGAUAAAUAUGAUUUAGGCUACAGCUGUGAC
Molecule: long non-coding RNA, 1873 nt
Filed under: Sus scrofa (pig)
Lineage: Eukaryota; Metazoa; Chordata; Mammalia; Artiodactyla; Suidae
Description: lncRNA (ENSSSCG00035068872.1)
Source: RNAcentral